Molecule: transfer RNA, 72 nt
Filed under: Danionella translucida
Lineage: Eukaryota; Metazoa; Chordata; Actinopteri; Cypriniformes; Danionidae
Also listed under: 1 other name
Rfam family: tRNA
About the family: Transfer RNA (tRNA) molecules are approximately 80 nucleotides in length. Their secondary structure includes four short double-helical elements and three loops (D, anti-codon, and T loops). Further hydrogen bonds mediate the characteristic L-shaped molecular structure. tRNAs have two regions of fundamental functional importance: the anti-codon, which is responsible for specific mRNA codon recognition, and the 3' end, to which the tRNAs corresponding amino acid is attached (by aminoacyl-tRNA synthetases). tRNAs cope with the degeneracy of the genetic code in two manners: having more than one tRNA (with a specific anti-codon) for a particular amino acid; and 'wobble' base-pairing, i.e. permitting non-standard base-pairing at the 3rd anti-codon position.
Source: Rfam by way of RNAcentral
GGCUCGUUGGUCUAUGGGUAUGAUUUUCGCUUUGGGUGCGAGAGGUCCCGGGUUCAAAUCCCGGAUGAGCCC